CCCUCACUUUGCCCUGUCUUAACACUUCGUUCUCCAGUCUCUGGGAUGAGGUUUUGCCAUAUUGCCCGUGGCCUGUGCACUCUAGCUCUCGGAAUGCCCUAUUUGCACCGUAAAGAGGAAUUCGGCGGCUCUGCUGUCUUGAUGUAACUCUAGCACAGUGUUCAUUGAGGAAGUGUCUUCUAGAGGGUCAACAGAAGCAAAAGCAAAUGCAGCAAGCAAAGAAACACAAAAUAACUUGGAAACUUGAAUAAAUUAUAAGCUAAAAGAUUUCAGCAUAAACUAAAAAAAGCUGCAUUUUUAAAUACCUGUUUGUGUUUGCUCUUCCUCGGAGGUAAUGGGUGUCAUUGUCA
This is a long non-coding RNA of Mustela erminea (ermine), 350 nucleotides long. RefSeq lists it as uncharacterized. NCBI's taxonomy places the organism in Eukaryota, Metazoa, Chordata, Mammalia, Carnivora, Mustelidae. The record is from RefSeq and is a predicted model, not a curated record. The transcript has 3 exons.